ACACAUGCAAGUCGAACGAAGCCUUGAGGGCUUAGUGGCGGACGGGUGAGUAACGCGUGAGAAUCUCCCUUCAGGAUGGGGACAACCGUUGGAAACGACGGCUAAUCCCCAAUGUGCCGCAAGGUGAAACGGGUUUCCGCCUGAAGAAGAGCUCGCGUCCGAUUAGUUAGUUGGUGAGGUAAGAGCUCACCAAGGCAGCGAUCGGUAGCUGGUCUGAGAGGAUGAGCAGCCACACUGGGACUGAGACACGGCCCAGACUCCUACGGGAGGCAGCAGUGGGGAAUUUUCCGCAAUGGGCGAAAGCCUGACGGAGCAACGCCGCGUGUGGGAAGAAGGCUCUUGGGCUGUCAACCACUUUUCUCAGGGAAGAAGAUCUGACGGUACCUGAGGAA
RNAcentral lists this ribosomal RNA (392 nucleotides) under Euhalothece sp. T2-1114. RNAcentral describes it as "bacterial SSU rRNA". It matches the Rfam family "Bacterial small subunit ribosomal RNA", at positions 51 to 486 of the family's 1533-position model. The record is from RNAcentral. Lineage: Bacteria; Bacillati; Cyanobacteriota; Cyanophyceae; Chroococcales; Halothecacae.